AUCGGCUAGACUUUAUAAACUUGAACUCUAAUUGAUGUUAGUUUAGGGUUUUGUAAAUAUAUCUUGUUUUUUAGGGUGAAAUCGGGAAUUUUUAUUGAUAAUGCUCUAAUCUUUAAGAUUUGGUGAAUGAAUCAGAUUAGUACCUGAUUAAACAAAAAUUAAAAGAGCAGGAGUAAAGUUGUAUUUAAACUGUAAGAAUAUUGGCAGGUUUUUAAAUUAUCUUUGGAGGUUGAGUAGUAAUUGAGAGCCCUCAUUAACAACUUUUACUGUAGGCGCAUGUAUGAUCGUUUAUUUUAUUCUUAAGGAUUGUAAUUUUAGAUUAACUAUUUUCUGUAAAAAUAGAUAAAUACUUGGUAUAUGUAAAAGAUUUAAUUUGACCUACAAUAUGCUAUUUUGUGGAUACUUUUUUAGUAGAAGGUUGAAAAUGUAAAAGACAGUAAGUUUUUUUUUAUAUAAAGCUGAAGUUUAUUUAAAAACGGUACAAAACAUC
This 490-nucleotide ribosomal RNA is filed under the name Ascaris sp. 2 YL-2012. Its description in RNAcentral is "partial 12S ribosomal RNA". Lineage: Eukaryota; Metazoa; Nematoda; Chromadorea; Rhabditida; Ascarididae. The record is from RNAcentral.